UUUAUUCUACUUUGUUAUAAGUGAUUGUAAAUUCUGCUUUGUAUAAAAUGUUGUCAUAUUAGAAUGUAGCAUUAGGGUCAUUGGUUACUUGCCCAACAUUUCCUGAUUACAUUGGAAUUUCACUAUUGGCAGUGAUUUUCUGACUACAUGACUUCUAGAGGGGAGUUGGCUUACCAGCAGCUUUGCAGUGGAAUGAUUGAAGAGUUUAAUGAUUGCUCAAAACAAGUCCUCGAAAUGGAGUCACUGAUUCAGAGUCCUGACUAUAGCCUUGAUGAUCUAGCACAAAUCUUUAGAGCUGUUCAAGAUCAGGAAAGGCAUAAAGAUUCAAUCUCGGGAGGUCAAAAGCAAAGAGUUGCAAUCACAAGAGCAAUUUUGAAACAUCCAAGAAUCUUACUUCUUGAUGAAGCUACAAGUGCCUUUGAUGUCGAAUAUGACAUAAUUGUACAAGAGGUGUUGCAUAGAAUAAUGUUAAACCGAACAACUAUUAUUGUAGCGCACAGCUUAAGUACCAUAACAAAUGCUGAUACCAUUGUUGUUAUUCAUCAAGGAAAAAUAAUUGAAAGAGGUUCAUAUGCUCAGCUCACAAGGGAUCCUGCUUAUUGAAAUUCUUAAUGAUGCAGGGAAUUUGUGAAGACAUGAUACAUCCUGACCAUGUUGUAGUCAUUAAGUUCACUAUGUCUGGGCAUACUCAGUUGCGCAGCAAUGCAAUCAUGAUCACCAGCACCAUCACGGCCAUCCUUUUCAGCACAAUGGUAAUGAGAUUCAUGUUGAGCUCAUCCAAACAUUAUUGAAGAUGGAUCCAACAGAUGAGGACUUGAAGCUAAGGUUAUUCACGGGUGAUGUUUCUCGACUUGGCCCUGCAAAGAGGUUUCUCAAGGCCUUGGUUGAUAUUCCACUGGCUUUCAAACAUCUUGAGUCACUACUGUUCAUGUAUACACUUCCCGAAGAGGCUUCAAGCAUUAAGGAAUGCUUUAAAAUAUUAGAGGUGAAAAUUGGAUUCAUUGACUUUUCUUUUGUC
This is an RNA transcript of Vicia villosa (hairy vetch), 1018 nucleotides long. It is a transcript of the gene named ABC transporter B family member 9-like, with no coding region annotated. The record is from RefSeq and is a predicted model, not a curated record. The transcript has 5 exons. NCBI's taxonomy places the organism in Eukaryota, Viridiplantae, Streptophyta, Magnoliopsida, Fabales, Fabaceae.